Molecule: ribosomal RNA, 486 nt
Filed under: uncultured bacterium
Lineage: Bacteria
Description: partial 16S ribosomal RNA
Rfam family: Bacterial small subunit ribosomal RNA
Source: RNAcentral
AUUGAACGCUGGCGGCAUGCCUUACACAUGCAAGUCGAACGGCAGCACGGGUGCUUGCACCUGGUGGCGAGUGGCGAACGGGUGAGUAAUACAUCGGAACAUGUCCUGUAGUGGGGGAUAGCCCGGCGAAAGCCGGAUUAAUACCGCAUACGAUCCACGGAUGAAAGCGGGGGACCUUCGGGCCUCGCGCUAUAGGGUUGGCCGAUGGCUGAUUAGCUAGUUGGUGGGGUAAAGGCCUACCAAGGCGACGAUCAGUAGCCGGUCUGAGAGGACGACCAGCCACACUGGGACUGAGACACGGCCCAGACUCCUACGGGAGGCAGCAGUGGGGAAUUUUGGACAAUGGGCGAAAGCCUGAUCCAGCAAUGCCGCGUGUGUGAAGAAGGCCUUCGGGUUGUAAAGCACUUUUGUCCGGAAAGAAAUCCUUGACUCUAAUACAGUCGGGGGAUGACGGUACCGGAAGAAUAAGCACCGGCUAACUACGUG